Molecule: long non-coding RNA, 580 nt
Organism: Daucus carota subsp. sativus
Lineage: Eukaryota; Viridiplantae; Streptophyta; Magnoliopsida; Apiales; Apiaceae
Exons: 2
Source: RefSeq, a predicted model, not a curated record
CCCCUGAGUACGCAAUAGAUGGCCUGUUCUCGACUAAAUCUGAUGUAUAUAGCUUUGGUGUUUUACUCCUAGAGAUAAUAAGUGGGAAUAAAAUCAGAGGUUUUCGCCAUCCAGAUCACAACCUUAAUCUGAUUGGUCAUGCAUGGAAAAGCUACAACGAGGACAAACUUUCUGAGGCAACUGAUAAGUUGAUCUUGAAUUCAAGUAACGAGGAUGAAGUGUUUAGAGUAAUUAAAAUUGGUUUAUUGUGUGUUCAAGAAUAUCCAGAAGAUAGGCCGAACAUGUCAUCUGUGGUUCUGAUGCUGAGUAGUAAAAUUGCAUUGUCUACUCCGAAGAAGCCAGGGUUUUACUCGGAGAGAAGAGAAGCUCAUGAAACAAAUUCUUCAUCGUUGAACAACACAGACUCCUCACCCAUGAAUACCUAUACUUUCUCCUUGUUUGAGCCACGAUAGCAUGAAUAUAAAUUCGCAUCAGAUUUGUUGGCUGUUAGUGUUUUUUAAUUAAUCAUCAUGUAAAAAUGAGCUGUUGUUGGCCUAGUUUACUCCAAUCAGAAUAAAUCACAGACCGAACAAUUAAUCUU